UAAGAUUGUAGCAGCAUUUGGAAAAGAUAUCUUGCAAGCUAAUGGAGAAGCUGAUAGGGCAAAACUGGCUAGAUUUUGUUCUCUGAUCCUGCAAAAGAUCAACUUCUUUAUCAGUAUUGAUAGUGUGAUCGGGUGUUUGAUCAACAAUAAAAGUUUUAUAGUUUAUAACCUCUGUAUGAUAAUGAAGGCAUGUAGCAAUACUUAAUUUAUUUAGUUCAAUAGAGGCG
This 227-nucleotide unclassified non-coding RNA is filed under the name Hevea brasiliensis (rubber tree). The record is from RNAcentral. Lineage: Eukaryota; Viridiplantae; Streptophyta; Magnoliopsida; Malpighiales; Euphorbiaceae.